Molecule: ribosomal RNA, 350 nt
Filed under: uncultured bacterium
Lineage: Bacteria
Description: bacterial SSU rRNA
Rfam family: Bacterial small subunit ribosomal RNA
Source: RNAcentral
AGAGUUUGAUCAUGGCUCAGGAUGAACGCUAGCUACAGGCUUAACACAUGCAAGUCGAGGGGAAACGAUAUUGGAAGCUUGCUUCCGAUAGGCGUCGACCGGCGCACGGGUGAGUAACGCGUAUCCAACCUGCCCACCACUUGGGGAUAAUCUUGCGAAAGUAAGACUAAUACCCAAUGAUAUCUCUAGAAGACAUCUGAAAGAGAUUAAAGAUUUAUCGGUGAUGGAUGGGGAUGCGUCUGAUUAGCUUGUUGGCGGGUAACGGCCACCAAGGCGACGAUCAGUAGGGGUUCUGAGAGGAAGGUCCCCCANAUUGGAACUGAGACACGGUCCAAACUCCUACGGGAGCA